This 621-nucleotide long non-coding RNA is filed under the name Monodelphis domestica (gray short-tailed opossum). Its description in RNAcentral is "lncRNA (ENSMODG00000040240.1)". The record is from RNAcentral. Lineage: Eukaryota; Metazoa; Chordata; Mammalia; Didelphimorphia; Didelphidae.
CCCUGGAAACCCCUAACUAUGCUUUUGCUAGGCUGUGUCCCUUUGAUGAUGCCCCAGCAUGCUACAGGAGACAUGGGAUAUCUGUAUUUUUCUUCAGGACAAAUGCAAUUUAGAUUCUUUUGACAUCAUGGUAUUCCCUGAUUCUUAGCCAUAAAACAUCACCUGGAGAAUAAAGUGCUUCUAGAUAUUUGGGCAUAUGAGAGAACUUUAUUUAGUUUUUGGCAUCCUUGUGAUAUGUUUUGACAGAAAAAAAUGGAACUUCCUCCAUCUUUUUGACCUGAACCAUUUUAUUUACAUACCUCCUUCAGUCUAUGGUUCUGCAAUCAACAAGUCAAGGAUGAAAAAGUGGGCCACGAUGAUGCUUCUAAAUCAGAGGUUGGCCCUGAUGGAAAGGAGACACAGGAGGCAGCUUCAAACUAAAAACCUAGCAGCAGCAAAGCUGCAUCUUCUUCCAAAGAGACCCCAGCAGCAACGGAAGCCCCUAGCUCUCUGCUUAAGUCUCAGGAAACUGCAGCCCCAGAAGAGGAGGCUCUGACAGCUAAUGUGGGUCAAACUAUAGCAGUGAAUGAGUAACAUGGACAACCUAUUGAAAAAAUAAAAAUAACGAAAUAAUAAUAACCA